RNAcentral lists this ribosomal RNA (253 nucleotides) under uncultured bacterium. RNAcentral describes it as "partial 16S ribosomal RNA". It matches the Rfam family "Bacterial small subunit ribosomal RNA", at positions 524 to 776 of the family's 1533-position model. The record is from RNAcentral.
UACAGAGGGGGCUAGCGUUGUUCGGAAUUACUGGGCGUAAAGGGCGCGUAGGCGGCCCGCUAAGUCGAACGUGAAAUCCCCGGGCUCAACCCGGGAACUGCGUCCGAUACUGGUGGGCUUGAAUCCGGGAGAGGGAUGUGGAAUUCCAGGUGUAGCGGUGAAAUGCGUAGAUAUCUGGAGGAAUACCGGUGGCGAAGGCGGCAUCCUGGACCAUUACUGACGCUGAGGCGCGAAAGCUAGGGGAGCAAACGGG